Molecule: long non-coding RNA, 1633 nt
Filed under: Homo sapiens (human)
Lineage: Eukaryota; Metazoa; Chordata; Mammalia; Primates; Hominidae
Description: long independently transcribed non-coding RNA 3093 (LINC03093)
Source: RNAcentral
AUACAGCGAUGGCCCCCACACCUGGAAGGACUCAAGCUCUGAAUCCAGCACCUUCAGGAAGCAAGUGAUGGCAUCCCAGAGGCCCUAUGCUUGAGACAGACUGACGAAAACAGGUGGAUCUAGGUAAAAUCAGUCUCUGCUACCCUCCUCAUCUAAACCCUCAGUGCAGGGCCACCUUGGAAGCCAUGUGUUAACACUGAGUGAUCCUCCUCAGCCAAGUCCCUAAUGCAUGGAAAAGAACCUCCUGACCCAGUCCCCAAAGGCUGGACUUUUCCUUUGCAAGAAAUAAGGAGGGUAAAGUUCACCAUAAAUAACAAAGUCAUGGAGUCAAGCUGUCACAAUUGGCCACCGUUCCUAAGGCAUUUGAAUUGUAUGCAUUGACAGGAAAAAGCAGGAAGGAGUGAAGACAGAACAAGGGGAGAAUGUAACCUGAGUUGGAAGGUGUAAUAUUUAAAUGUAUUUGCAAACCUGUUUUGGGCCAAAAGGGGUAGGAGGAAGAGAAGACGCAUUUGCUGAGAUCUAUUAUAUGCCAAUUGGAGGACUACAGAUUUCACAAUUCACAUCUGUUGUCUUAUUUCUUUCUCAUAAUCCCAAAGAUAAUUCUAAAGUUACACAUUAUCAUCUCCAUUUACAAUUAAGAACUGAUGCUCCAAGAAGAAAGAUCUCACAGUGUGUAGGCAACAGACCUAAGAUUCAAACCUAUAUUGGUGGGUGUUAAUGUCCUUGUUCUUUCUGAUGUAAGCAUGUAACAUUUCCACAUCUCUGAUUCCAUGCUCAAGGUGGGCCAAGCCAUGCUGCUUGUAAGACAGGGUGCCUGUGAUGACACAAGUCAUUAAUGCAAGUGUUAAGUGCCAUGCAAGCACAGAAGCCACUUAAAAUGGGUUUUCGGAAAUGAAAGCUGGGCUCAAACAGAGCCCACUUUCAAGGGGGCCUGGUUUAAGUGGCCAAACUCUCAAGAAGAAAGGCAUUAAAGGAAGAGCCUUUCUGCUGGGCUGGCAAAACUUUAGGUUCAUGAAUUCAGGAGGAGACUGAGGAGGAGAAAACAGGGUUUUAGAAUGCAGCCUCAGGAGCUGCCUGCACCUCUCAGGCCAGGAGGUUGGCUUUUCCAAUUGUGCGAUUAAGCUAUUCUACCCAGCCCCACCUCUCAUUUUCAAUUAAUCUGCACUAAUGAAUUCAACAACCAAAAUGCAUUUGCUAAUUGAGGUGCUUGCUGGCCAGGUCAUCCGCGCUCCCUUGUCUAACAGCUGGUACUCCCCACUGUGCCACGGUAAAGUAGGGUAGUAGAGGCCUCUGCUCCCCUCAUCCCCUGCUGCCCCUGAGGGGAAUACCCAGUGGGCAAGAAAAGGCCCAGCCUGGGAGAGAAUGCUCAUAAUAUAUUACUAAGUCACAGACAGAAAUUGCUCCUCCGGGCAGUCUUUCACUUUUUGUUUCUAAGUGAAAGCUCAUGACCAUCCCAGCCAUAUUAUCUCCCUGGCCCUUGGAAGCUGUUAUGUAAUGGAAAGGGCAUUAAACUCAGGCCAGGAAAUUCUUGAUACAGAACCCAGACUGUUGUUGAUAACUGGGUUGACUUUGGAAAGUGACUGCCUCCCUCCCUCUCGGUUUGCUCAUCUGGAAAAUGAAACUAAUGGAACUG